This 252-nucleotide ribosomal RNA is filed under the name uncultured bacterium. RNAcentral describes it as "partial 16S ribosomal RNA". It matches the Rfam family "Bacterial small subunit ribosomal RNA", at positions 524 to 776 of the family's 1533-position model. The record is from RNAcentral.
UACGAAGGGGCUAGCGUUGCUCGGAAUCACUGGGCGUAAAGGGUGCGUAGGCGGGUCUUUAAGUCAGGGGUGAAAUCCUGGAGCUCAACUCCAGAACUGCCUUUGAUACUGAGGAUCUUGAGUUCGGGAGAGGUGAGUGGAACUGCGAGUGUAGAGGUGAAAUUCGUAGAUAUUCGCAAGAACACCAGUGGCGAAGGCGGCUCACUGGCCCGAUACUGACGCUGAGGCACGAAAGCGUGGGGAGCAAACAGG